AGCCAAGAUUCAAAGUCUGACUUCACAGUACUGGUUCUGCUCUAUCUUGGGAAGUGUCUCCAACACAGAUGAGGAGAGGGCAGCCAGUGAACUCACGGUGGGUCCCCAGGAGGCAAGGCAGGACUGCUUCCCCUCCUUAUCCCUACUCUAAUGCCCACUCACCUGUCUUCCCCAGGCACUUCCCCAUUGUCCCAGAUUUCCCUUGCCUUAGAGCCUGGGCCUCCCGGAAGGAAAUGGCAUGUGGUCUGGGGGUGGAGGCUAUUACCCUGGGCAAAGACAUUUUAAUCCUUGCGCUGAUGGCGUCCUCAACCAAGGACUGUGGAUUGACAUUCUCAUUCUUCCAUUAGCCUCUGACCUUUGCCAAAGCCUUCUCCCUCUCUGACCUUAACCUGAACUUCUGAACUGGGGCUCGCUCAGUUCUGCUGAAAGGGAGAGUUGCUCCCUAGUUGAGAGAGUGACAGUGGGUGACAUUCAUUAGACUGUCUUCACAUGUCUGUAUCCCCAGUUCCUGGCACUGAGCCUUGCACACAUAGGAGCCCAGCACACAUGGGACACAGAAUGCCGAAUGAGGAGUCCUUUCUCUGAGAGUCUGGGAAUAGGGAAGGGGCUGGAGUCCCCUUUUCCAGGAAAGCUAAAGAUAGGCAAACAGAGCCCUAGAGUAAUGCGAGCCGCCUGCCAGGAGGCUGGGAGCUGGGCUUGGAUCAGAGGCUCUUUCUUCUAUCCCCGGUUUCCCUAGGGGUAGCGCUGGAGCUCCUGGGACCAGCAGGGGCCUGGCUAGGGACGAUGUAAACCCUCUUGUUCUCACAACUUGUGUUGUCGCACCUUUCAGGAUCAGGAAUGGAUUGUUUUCUAAGCCUUGGACUAAUUCACUCACUUCCCAUCUGCUUCCCUCCCACCCCACCAGGGUGUCAGUGGCUGGGGCAGCUAUCUUGAGCUGGAGUCACCCAGCCUGGCCAAGAACUGGAAAAGUCUCUUUGGAGAUUUGGACCCAUUUCUGAAAAGCUCAUGAAAACCACUUUGCCUUGGACUCCUGCGCCCACCCAGAGCCCUCCAUAUACAUUUAACCCAAAUCCCCAACUCCAGUGAUGACUACAGGUUGGGGGAACCCCGAGAGCAAGGGAGGUGAGGAAACUGAUGUCCAGAAAGCAGCAGGCAUCAGUGGAGACACUCCUAGCCCUGCUACCUUCUCCUCACUGCCCACACUUCCAGGUUCAGACAAACCGGAAAGGAAACCCACCAUGCAGGACUGUCCAUGUGAUGGCUCUUCCUGUGGCUCCAUUUCUAAGCACCUCCGAGGACCUCACCAUGGCCCAGGACCGCAAGCCAAGGCCACCCCAGUGUCCUUACCAUCCUGGGAAUGGGAGGAGCCAGGCCCAGCCUUGUCCUGUCUGCCCCCCUGGAAGCCUUCCCUGAGCACUGGCCUCUUAUUUACCCGUCUUUGUCUCUGGCCUGUUGGUAGCUGUCUCUUGUCUGAUUAGGGAACCCUUGAGGUCAGGAUCUUUGCCUCCCCAAUCAGAUUGUCAGGCAGGAGUGGGGGUAGUGCAGAUGCUGGGUCAUUUCUACAUGUGAGACCAAAUAGUGGUCCUGUUUAAGUUGAUCCCCUUGAAAGAAAAUUCUGGAAAAGCUCCUCAGAUUCACAGAUACACAGAAUCAGACCUUGGGCAAAGUGUGUAGUUGUGCUUUUGAAGCUGUGCAACCUUGGACAAACUACUUGACUUCUCUGUGCCUCAGUUUCCUUAUCUGUGAAAUGGGGAGUAGUCGUGAUACCUUCCCCAUGAGGUUGAUGGGAGGAUUGAGUUAAUAUUUAUAAAGCAUUUCAGACAGUGCCAGAAAUAUACUGUGUGUUAAAUAAGUAUUUCGUACACACACACACCCACACACACUUCAGAGUUCUGCCAGGCCAGGGCUCAUAGCCUUGAAUCUACCCAUGAUAGAGAGUCAGACAACUUACCUUGCAGGCUGCCUGCUCUCCCAGCAGCCAUGCAGGGGAUCUUCUGCCUCUGCACUGCCGAUUAUCCCCUGCCCUGGUCAGUGCCUCUCUCCAAAAGUACCUCCAAGGCCACAGUUAU
Nomascus leucogenys (northern white-cheeked gibbon) is the source of this 2069-nucleotide long non-coding RNA. RefSeq lists it as uncharacterized. The record is from RefSeq and is a predicted model, not a curated record. The transcript has 3 exons. NCBI's taxonomy places the organism in Eukaryota, Metazoa, Chordata, Mammalia, Primates, Hylobatidae.